AUUGAACGCUGGCGGCAGGCCUAACACAUGCAAGUCGAGCGGUAGAGAGAAGCUUGCUUCUCUUGAGAGCGGCGGACGGGUGAGUAAUGCCUAGGAAUCUGCCUGGUAGUGGGGGAUAACGUUCGGAAACGGACGCUAAUACCGCAUACGUCCUACGGGAGAAAGCAGGGGACCUUCGGGCCUUGCGCUAUCAGAUGAGCCUAGGUCGGAUUAGCUAGUUGGUGGGGUAAUGGCUCACCAAGGCGACGAUCCGUAACUGGUCUGAGAGGAUGAUCAGUCACACUGGAACUGAGACACGGUCCAGACUCCUACGGGAGGCAGCAGCGGGGAAUAUUGGACAAUGGGCGAAAGCCUGAUCCAGCCAUGCCGCGUGUGUGAAGAAGGUCUUCGGAUUGUAAAGCACUUUAAGUUGGGAGGAAGGGCAGUAAAUUAAUACUUUGCUGUUUUGACGUUACCGACAGAAUAAGCACCGGCUAACUCUGUG
This 484-nucleotide ribosomal RNA is filed under the name uncultured bacterium. RNAcentral's name for it is "partial 16S ribosomal RNA". It matches the Rfam family "Bacterial small subunit ribosomal RNA", at positions 30 to 507 of the family's 1533-position model. The record is from RNAcentral.